GCCGGCUUAGCUCAGUUGGUAGAGCAGUUGCCUUGUAAGCAUCAGGUCGGGGGUUCGACUCCUCCAGCCGGCACCA
This 76-nucleotide transfer RNA is filed under the name Gammaproteobacteria bacterium. Its description in RNAcentral is "tRNA-Thr". It matches the Rfam family "tRNA". From Rfam's summary of the family: Transfer RNA (tRNA) molecules are approximately 80 nucleotides in length. Lineage: Bacteria; Pseudomonadati; Pseudomonadota; Gammaproteobacteria. RNAcentral also lists the same sequence under 2 other names. The record is from RNAcentral.